This 1730-nucleotide long non-coding RNA is filed under the name Salmo salar (Atlantic salmon). RNAcentral's name for it is "lncRNA (ENSSSAG00000118966.1)". Lineage: Eukaryota; Metazoa; Chordata; Actinopteri; Salmoniformes; Salmonidae. The record is from RNAcentral.
UGGUCCCAUGGUGUUUAUACUUGCAUACUAUUGUUUGUACAAAUGACCGUGGUACCUUCAGGCGUUUGGAAACUGCUCCGAAGGAUGAACCAGACUUGUGGAGGUCUACAAUUUUUUUUCUGAGGUCUUGGCUGAUCUCUUUUGAUUUUCCCAUGAUGUCAAGCAAAGAGGUACUGAGUUUGAAGGUAGGCCUUGAAAUACAUUCACAGGUACACCUCCAAUUGACUCAAAUUAUGUCAAUUAGCCUAUCAGAAGCUUCCAAAGCCAUGACGACAUUUUCUGGAAUUUUCCAAGCUGGAAUUGUGAUACAGUGAAUUAUAAGUGAAAUAAUCUGUCUGUAAACAAUUGUUGGAAAAAUGACUUGUGUAAUUAAAAAAAUAUAUAUAUUUCACCUUUAUUCUUUUUUCAUGCACAAAGCAGAUGUCCUAACCGACUUGCCAAAACGAUAGUUUGUUAACAAGAAAUUUGUGGAGUGGUUGAAAAACAAGUUUUAAUGUAAACUUCCGACUUCAACUGUAGUUGCGGUAAUUGAGGUAAUGGUAGAGGGUGGGUAGAGGUAAAAUUGACUAGGCAAUCAGGAUGUAUAAUAAACAGAGUAACUGCAGCAUAUGUGAAGAUGUAGGUAGUGUGUGUGACAAUUUCUAGGGCCUUCCUCUGACACCGCCUGGUGUAGAGGUCCUAGAUGGCAUGGAGCUCAGCCCCAGUGAUGUACUGGGCCAUACUCACCACCCUCUAUAGCUUCUUGCGUUCAGGUGCCUUGCAGUACCAAGCAGUGAUGCAGCCAGUUAAGAUGCUCUCAAUGGUGUAGCUGUACAACUAUUUCCGGAUCUGAGGGCCCAUGCCAAAUCUUUCCAGCCUCCUAAGGGGGAAGAGGUGUUGUCAUGCCCUCUUCACAACUGUGUUUGGACCAUGUUGGGUCUUUUUUCAUUUUAUAUUUAACCUUCAUUUAACUAAGCAAGUCAGUUAAGAACAAAUUCUUAUUUACAAUGACGGCCUACCCUGGCCAAACCCUAACAACGCUGAGCCAACUGUGCGCCGCCCUAUGGGACUCCCAAUCACAGCCGGUUGUGAUACAGCCUGGAAUCGAACCAAGAUCUGUAGUGACACCUCUAGCACUGAGAUGCAGUGCCUUAGACCGCUGCGCCACUCAGGAGCCCAAAGGAUACGACACUAACUAACAUUAGUGUGGAGAGACUUGCUGUGUCAUAAGUCUGACCACGUGGUGGCCACAAUAUUCUCUCUCUCGCUUUCUCACUCACACACACACCGCAUGCAUACACACGGACACACACCUUUUGACCUCUUCACCAUCUUUCGUUAUCUCGCAUACAUGCACACACGACUUGACCUGCACACAUACAAGGCUGACAGAAAUAGUGGUGGAGGGCACACAAUUUUCCACUAAUGUUGUUUUGUUUGUGGUUCAACGCUCACAGACUAAAGCUAGUGGAUUAUGUAACAAAGACAGACAGAGAAAAUGUCAUUAAGACAAGACAAGAGAAUGGGCUGAACAGAGGAAAUUAAGAAAGGAAAUACCCUAGUUUUGAGACAUCCACCACUCCCCCUCCCUUUCCCUAGGCCUCUUCUGUGCAGUACCAAGAUUGAUUCGUCACUGUAUUCUUCUCUACCUCAGAUGGGUCAUGUCAUUCCAGGUGGUGACUGUAACAUGUGGGCUGAUGAUUAUUCAUUCAUUCUCAUCACAAGUAGAUUCUGUGCUGCAUUCAUGAAGC